AUGUUGGGUUAAGUCCCGCAACGAGCGCAACCCUUGUCUUCUGUUGCCAUCGGGUUAUGCCGGGCACUCUGAAGAGACUGCCGGUGACAAACCGGAGGAAGGUGGGGAUGACGUCAAGUCAGCAUGGCCUUUAUGUCUGGGGCCACACACGUGCUACAAUGGCCGGUACAAACCGUCGCGAUCUCGCGAGAGGGAGCUAAUCGGAGAAAGCCGGUCUCAGUUCGGAUUGUAGGCUGCAACUCGCCUGCAUGAAGUUGGAAUCGCUAGUAAUCGCGGAUCAGCACGCCGCGGUGAAUACGUUCCCGGGCCUUGUACACACCGCCCGUCACAUCACGAAAGCCGGCUGUACUAGAAGUCGCUGCGCUAACCCGCAAGGGGGGCAAGCGCUUAAGGUAUGGUCGGUGAUUGGGGUGAAGUCGUAACAAGGUAA
RNAcentral lists this ribosomal RNA (430 nucleotides) under uncultured Acidobacteriota bacterium. RNAcentral describes it as "bacterial SSU rRNA". It matches the Rfam family "Bacterial small subunit ribosomal RNA", at positions 1072 to 1499 of the family's 1533-position model. The record is from RNAcentral. Lineage: Bacteria; Pseudomonadati; Acidobacteriota.